This is an RNA transcript of Zalophus californianus (California sea lion), 3510 nucleotides long. It is a transcript of the gene named proline rich 16, with no coding region annotated. The transcript has 4 exons. The record is from RefSeq and is a predicted model, not a curated record. Lineage: Eukaryota; Metazoa; Chordata; Mammalia; Carnivora; Otariidae.
AGCGCGUGUGUGCGCGAGAGCGGCGGGCGGCGGCGGGAGGAGGCGCAGGCGCGCUGCUCGCCCGUCUGCAGCCCCGCGCCGAGCGCCGCGUCUCGGGGAGUCGAUGGCAGCACCAGUGUGCGGCCGCCCAGCCGAGCGCCGAGCGCAGCCGCCCGCCGCUGCCCAGGGAGCGUCCAAAAUGUGGGGGGAUCGGGGCGGCAGCGGCCGCAGUAGCGCUAGGGACGGGGGCGCGCAGCAGCCUCCGCUCGCCCGCCUGUGCUGACCUGCCUCGCCUGCCCCCAGAGAAUGUCAGCCAAGUCCAAGGGGACCCCCUCCUCGUCCUCUCCAGCCGAGGGACCUCCGGCAGCCUCCAAAACCAAGGUGAAGGAACAAAUCAAGAUCAUUGUGGAGGAUCUAGAAUUAGUCCUGGGCGACCUGAAGGACGUGGCCAAGGAACUUAAGGAGGUGGUUGACCAGAUUGAUACCCUGACCUCCGACCUGCAGCUGGAGGAUGAGAUGACCGACAGCUCCAAAACGGACACCCUGAAUAGUAGCUCCAGCGGCACAACGGCCUCCAGCAUCGAGAAGAUCAAAGUGCAGGCCCACGCACCCCUCAUCAAGCCCCCAGCACACCCAUCUGCUAUCCUCACCGUCCUGAGAAAGCCAAACCCUCCGCCACCUCCCCCGCGGUUGACCCCUGUGAAGAGUGAAGAGCCCCCGAGAGGGGUGCCAACGGUCAAUCCUGUGAAGACGAAUGGUACCCUCCUGCGAAAUGGAGGCUUUCCCGGGGCACCCAACAAAAUUCCAAAUGGAAACGUCUGCUGCAUACCCGCUAGUACCUUGGACAAGGCUCCCGGACGGCCUCUGAAGCACAGACCUGAAAAAGACAGGUGCCUCCAGGCAGGGCCUCGGGAACGAGUUCGGUUUAAUGAAAAAGUACAGUACCAUGGCUAUUGUCCCGACUGUGACACCCGGUAUAACAUAAAAAACAGGGAGGUCCAUUUACACGGCGAACCUGUCCACCCACCGGAAAAGCUUCCUCACCCAGGCCCCCCCCUCCCUCCUCCACCCCACCUCCCUCCUUUUCCACUGGAAAACGGGGGGCUGGGAAUAAGCCACAGUCACAGUUUCCCCCCUCUCAGACCUGCAACUGUGCCUCCUCCCACUGCACCAAAACCACAGAAGACAAUCUUGAGGAAAUCAACCACUACAACAGUGUGAUGUGACUUAAGGAUUUCCCUGCUGUCAUCAAAAGUGUUCAGUGCCGGGAAGAACUGAAUCUUCCUGAAGAAGCUUAGAAUAUUUUAAUGUAAAACUUUUGUCGGAUGUGGAGAAAUCAGUGCUAAUUUAAGACUGUUAAAAUGAUCAUAGUCAUGUCAUUUAGGAUUUUGUUAUAGGAAGCCAUUAAAGAAAAUUCCAACAAGAGAGUGUAUCAUUUUGAAGAAGGAUUGCCCACUCUUGGGCAAAAUUAGACAAGAUAAGAUCCAUGUGAAAUAAGUUAAGAAGAUAUAUUACUUCCAGAUUAUACCUGGAAAGCCAUGAUAAGAAACUGGAAAAUAAUAGCAGUGGAAAUAAUGUGGGGUUCUUCAAAUAAUGGAAAUAACAUAGAAUAACAGAAAAUCUUGCCUCAUAACCUGUGUUUUGUUUUUGAUUGGAAUGCUGAGAGGGACAGUGAGGAUCUAUACACUUGAGCUUUGAAAACAUCUUCCCCUAACUGUCUUUGCACUGACCAGACAUGUUUAUGCUUAGAUCAAACUAACAUAGUGAGCUCUAGACCAAAAAAGAAACUGAACAGUAAAAAAUACAUAUACCCUCUGGGAAAUGACAGCCAUUUUUGAGACCAGCGAUUAGCAAGGUGUACAUCCCUGGAUUAUGUCCCAGUUAAGGUAGAACUCACUCAGCUGCCACUACUCAUGAAUGUGAGAUUUCUCUUAUAUCUGGUUCAGAAUGGUAUUUGGUUACAAGUUUGUACUUAUUUGCGGCUGUAGGUCAAGUUAGCUCAAGUAGUGGAAACAGUUAUUAUACAAAUACUUAGCUCAGCUCAAAGUAGUCCCUGAGAAGCUUCAGUUAGAAAACCAAAGAGGGAAAGAGGAGGUUCUAGUAAUGGGUCAUUAUAUAUUUUGUCAGAGAGAGAACCGGAAACAUGCCGCUAAAAGAUCCAAUCACAAUGUGGCAUUUUUUGUCUCCUUUGUUCUGAGAAUGUUAUAAAGAUGAGUGCAGAUAACGUUAUGAAGGAUGGAGAAUGCAGCGCCAAGUAAGGAUUUUUAAUGUUUCCAUGAAUCAACAAGGAAACAUUCAUGGUUUUCAGCAGAAAAGUGAUGUGAUGAAAGAGCAUUUGUGAGAGGUCCUUCAGCUUGGAAGGAAUAUCUUUAUUUGGAGGCAUGUCAGCUCAUUUUUCUCACUUCAGAUUCAUCAUUAUGACUUCUUGAGGCCAGAUCUAAUUUUGAAGUAACCAGGAAUCUGUCCAUCAUUGAGCAGUAAAUCCCUCAACUUUGGAGCACAAAAGAUCACUGAUACGAUCUGCAUAAAAUCAUCUGCCUCUAGUCUGAUAGCCAUGAGCAGAGCCCUGGGGGCAAAAAAAAAAAGCCACAGCCUUAAAUCUCUUCACUCUGAAAUUACCAAGAAGAUUAAAAAAAAAAAAAAAAGACUAAACAAGCAAGCCAACAACAUCAGAAACAACAACGAAAACAAAGAAAACCCAUCUUAUUUCACCUUGGAAAAAAAUAAAUAUUCCCAGAUGUGAGCCCAAGAAAAUUUAUAUUCAGCAAUUAAGCUAGAAAAUUGAUUCAUCAUUUGGGAAAGUGAAAGUAUAGAGAUAGGAGGUAUCUCUAGCCCGAUUUAUUCAGCAUUUCAAAAUAUGCAGACAAAAAGAAAACUGAACAGAGGAGCAUUUCAGCAAUGAACAGUAUUAGGACAGAAUGUUGCUGUUUGCAGAGAGGAUGUUUGCCAUCUUGUGCACACCCUCAAAGCCAUAAUGGAAUAACAGCAUUGUCAUUGAUUGCUUGAAAAGUUUCUGCAUUCAGUCCUUCACCCCAUAUUGGUUAAGGCGCGGGGGCGGGGGGCAGUUCUCACUGAUUACUUCUCAAUGCACUUCUAAUAUUUGCACUGUCACUUCCAUUCAGGGUAAUGAUGUGUGCUGUUAUUUGCACAGAUGGUCCCAUGAGUUUUGAGACCACAAGCAGUUACAUGCAGGAGUCCAGAAAGGAAACAUUUAAGAAUUCCUCAGACAUUGCUUUCUCUUUCUUCUGUAAAAGUCAGUUAUCAUCUAAAAAAUGGACUUGUCUCAGAUUAAAAAACAACUACAAAAUAAUAAGGAAAGCGCAUAAGUGUGGUCAAAUGAAUGGAGAAGGUAUCCAAAGUUUGUUUUAGUGAAGAUCAUUUUAUAUCAUUAACAGCCAAGAAGUCAGAUAGAGUGAAAUGUACACUACACAUUUGUGUUGAACAUAUAUUUGUUCUCUUAAUUAAAGAAAUCAUUUGUAAUUUGUAUUUGACAUAUAACAGUUUUUUAGAGCCAUUUAUCUAUGCUUCAUG